RNAcentral lists this ribosomal RNA (847 nucleotides) under Enterococcus faecium. Its description in RNAcentral is "bacterial SSU rRNA". It matches the Rfam family "Bacterial small subunit ribosomal RNA", at positions 43 to 855 of the family's 1533-position model. Lineage: Bacteria; Bacillati; Bacillota; Bacilli; Lactobacillales; Enterococcaceae. The record is from RNAcentral.
UUUGCCUAAUACAUGCAAGUCGAACGCUUCUUUUUCCACGGAAGCUUGCUCCACCGGAAAAAGAGGAGUGGCGAACGGGUGAGUAACACGUGGGCUAACCUGCCCAUCAGAAGGGGAUAACACUUGGAAACAGGUGCUAAUACCGUAUAACAAUCAAAACCGCAUGGUUUUGAUUUGAAAGGCGCUUUCGGGUGUCGCUGAUGGAUGGACCCGCGGUGCAUUAGCUAGUUGGUGAGGUAACGGCUCACCAAGGCCACGAUGCAUAGCCGACCUGAGAGGGUGAUCGGCCACAUUGGGACUGAGACACGGCCCAAACUCCUACGGGAGGCAGCAGUAGGGAAUCUUCGGCAAUGGACGAAAGUCUGACCGAGCAACGCCGCGUGAGUGAAGAAGGUUUUCGGAUCGUAAAACUCUGUUGUUAGAGAAGAACAAGGAUGAGAGUAACUGUUCAUCCCUUGACGGUAUCUAACCAGAAAGCCACGGCUAACUACGUGCCAGCAGCCGCGGUAAUACGUAGGUGGCAAGCGUUGUCCGGAUUUAUUGGGCGUAAAGCGAGCGCAGGCGGUUUCUUAAGUCUGAUGUGAAAGCCCCCGGCUCAACCGGGGAGGGUCAUUGGAAACUGGGAGACUUGAGUGCAGAAGAGGAGAGUGGAAUUCCAUGUGUAGCGGUGAAAUGCGUAGAUAUAUGGAGGAACACCAGUGGCGAAGGCGGCUCUCUGGUCUGUAACUGACGCUGAGGCUCGAAAGCGUGGGGAGCAAACAGGAUUAGAUAUCCCUGGUAGUACCAAACGCCGUAAACGAUGAGUGCUAAGUGUUGGAGGGUUUCCGCCCUUCAGUGCUGCAGCUAC